AGAUACCAGCUGGCUGCAACUGUUUAUUAAAAACACAGCACUGUGCAAACACGAAAGUGGACGUAUACGGUGUGACGCCUGCCCGGUGCUGGAAGGUUAAUUGAUGGGGUUAUCCGUAAGGAGAAGCUCUUGAUCGAAGCCCCAGUAAACGGCGGCCGUAACUAUAACGGUCCUAAGGUAGCGAAAUUCCUUGUCGGGUAAGUUCCGACCUGCACGAAUGGCGUAAUGAUGGCCAGGCUGUCUCCACCCGAGACUCAGUGAAAUUGAACUCGCUGUGAAGAUGCAGUGUACCCGCGGCAAGACGGAAAGACCCCGUGAACCUUUACUAUAGCUUGACACUGAACAUUGAGCCUUGAUGUGUAGGAUAGGUGGGAGGCUUUGAAGCGUGGACGCCAGUCUGCGUGGAGCCAACCUUGAAAUACCACCCUUUAAUGU
This 435-nucleotide ribosomal RNA is filed under the name Providencia rettgeri. RNAcentral's name for it is "partial 23S ribosomal RNA". It matches the Rfam family "Bacterial large subunit ribosomal RNA", at positions 1781 to 2213 of the family's 2925-position model. The record is from RNAcentral. Lineage: Bacteria; Pseudomonadati; Pseudomonadota; Gammaproteobacteria; Enterobacterales; Morganellaceae.